AGUCGGACGAGAUUUCGUCCUGUAGCAAUACGGGAAGAAGUCUAGUGGCGAACGGGUGCUUAACACGUGGGCAAUUUGUCUUGAAGUGGGGGAUAGCUCGGCGAAAGCCGAAUUAAUACCGCAUGUGAUUAGAGUGGACAUCCAUUCAAAAUUAAAGUCGGGGCAACCUGACGCUUUUUGAGGAGCCCGCGGCCUAUCAGCUAGUUGGUGAGGUAACGGCUCACCAAGGCUUUGACGGGUAGCUGGUCUGAGAGGACGACCAGCCACACUGGGACUGAGACACGGCCCAGACACCUACGGGUGGCAGCAGUCGAGAAUUUUUCUCAAUGGGGGAAACCCUGAAGGAGCGACGCCGCGUGGAGGAUGAAGGUCUUCGGAUUGUAAACUCCUGUCAUUGGGGAACAAUGCGUGACGGUUAACUGCCGUCGCGUUGAUAGUACCCGAAGAGGAAGAGACGGCUAACUCUGUGCCAGCAGCCGCGGUAAUACAGAGGUCUCAAGCGUUGUUCGGAUUCAUUGGGCGUAAAGGGUGCGUAGGCGGCGCGGUAAGUCGGGUGUGAAAUCUCGGAGCUUAACUCCGAAACUGCAUUCGAUACUGCCGUGCUCGAGGACUGGAGAGGAGACUGGAAUUUACGGUGUAGCGGUGAAAUGCGUAGAUAUCGUAAGGAAGACCAGUGGCGAAGGCGGGUCUCUGGACAGUUCCUGACGCUGAGGCACGAAGGUCA
Molecule: ribosomal RNA, 724 nt
Filed under: uncultured Verrucomicrobiota bacterium
Lineage: Bacteria; Pseudomonadati; Verrucomicrobiota
Description: bacterial SSU rRNA
Rfam family: Bacterial small subunit ribosomal RNA
Source: RNAcentral